RNAcentral lists this long non-coding RNA (617 nucleotides) under Nicotiana tabacum (common tobacco). RNAcentral's name for it is "long non-coding RNA (NTAB_LNC001534)". The record is from RNAcentral. Lineage: Eukaryota; Viridiplantae; Streptophyta; Magnoliopsida; Solanales; Solanaceae.
UUUUCUACAUCAAUUUCACCCCAUCUCUUCUUUCUGAUAUAUUUUUCAUUUAGGGUUUAUCUUAGUCUCUCGUUUCACAGUAUAGUAAAUGGCUGCUGAAGUAGAAUACAGUUGCUUCGUCGGUGGGCUCGCAUGGGCUACCACCGAUAGAACCUUAGCUGACGCUUUUGGUACAUACGGCGAAGUUCUCGACUCGAAGGUCCGUUUGUUGCGCAGAGCAGAAAUCGAAUCCGAGCCCAUUUUUUGGCUUCGUUGAUGACCUUCUGUUACUGAUUACUGUUAUUACUCUCUGGUUUACUUGAUUCAUCUGUUACUGUUACUGUUAUUACUAUUAUACCCUUGAAACGGUACGUUCCAUCUUUUCUCUUUUUGUCAAGAGAUGAAGAUAGAUCGGUUAAUUAUUUAGCUUGUAAACGUUGGAGAUCUGUUAGAUCUGAGCAUAGUUUUGUUUUGUUUUUAUUUUUUCAGAUCAUUAACGACAGAGAAACUGGCAGAUCUAGAGGAUUUGGCUUUGUUACCUUUAAGGAUGAGAAAUGCAUGAGGGAUGCAAUCGAAGGGAUGAACGGUCAGGAACUUGACGGCCGUAACAUUACUGUUAACGAAGCUCAGGCUCGUGG